ACAAAUCUUUUGAUAGAAAAUUCUUGCUCUGUGUGUUUAAUUAUAGUUGGGAGGGCAUGCAUGGGCUGUCAGUUAGAGACUUUUGUUUUAGGAGUCAUCAGCAUACAGAUGAAUUUACUGUAGAAUUGUCUACAGCAUGAAUUUGGGAGCAGAGGCUAAAUCUUCCGUAGGACUUCAUCUGCUUUCGUGGCACAUUCCAUUUCUUAAAGUUUCACCCUAAAAGGUCAAUGUAAUUCACUGUUAUCUUUGCCAUUCUGAGUAGCUAUUUCCUGCUUAUUAGCUAGUUCUAAUGAGGAGCUAUUAUAGCUGCCCUGUGAUACCUGCACAAG
This is a long non-coding RNA of Thalassophryne amazonica, 329 nucleotides long. RefSeq lists it as uncharacterized. The transcript has 3 exons. NCBI's taxonomy places the organism in Eukaryota, Metazoa, Chordata, Actinopteri, Batrachoidiformes, Batrachoididae. The record is from RefSeq and is a predicted model, not a curated record.